This 213-nucleotide ribosomal RNA is filed under the name uncultured bacterium. Its description in RNAcentral is "partial 16S ribosomal RNA". It matches the Rfam family "Bacterial small subunit ribosomal RNA", at positions 1288 to 1500 of the family's 1533-position model. The record is from RNAcentral.
UCAGUUCGGAUUGCAGGCUGCAACUCGCCUGUAUGAAGUCGGAAUUGCUAGUAAUCGCGGAUCAGCAUGCCGCGGUGAAUACGUUCCCGGGCCUUGUACACACCGCCCGUCACACCAUGAGAGUCGGGAACACCCGAAGUCCGUAGUCUAACCGCAAGGAGGGCGCGGCCGAAGGUGGGCUUGAUAAUUGGGGUGAAGUCGUAACAAGGUAGC